Molecule: unclassified non-coding RNA, 228 nt
Filed under: uncultured Gammaproteobacteria bacterium
Lineage: Bacteria; Pseudomonadati; Pseudomonadota; Gammaproteobacteria
Description: contains 16S-23S intergenic spacer region
Source: RNAcentral
UCCUCCUUACAGAGGCAGUUUUGUCCGAGUAUGUCAAGGGCAGGUAAGGUUCUUCGCGUUGCAUCGAAUUAAACCACAUGCUCCACCGCUUGUGCGGGUCCCCGUCGAUUCCUUUGAGUUUUACCGUUGCCGGCGUACUCCCCAGGCGGAGAACUUAACGCGUUAGCUGCGACACCGAGAGGCAAACCCUCCCAACAUCUAGUUCUCAUCGUUUACGGCGUGGACUAC